Long non-coding RNA from Thalassophryne amazonica, 1272 nucleotides. RefSeq lists it as uncharacterized. Lineage: Eukaryota; Metazoa; Chordata; Actinopteri; Batrachoidiformes; Batrachoididae. The record is from RefSeq and is a predicted model, not a curated record. The transcript is spliced from 3 exons.
UAUUCAGAAUAAUAGUAGUGCUAUGUGACUAAAAUGAUUAAACCAGGUUUUGAGUAUAUUUCUUAUUGUUACAUGGGAAACACAGAUUCAGUAGAUUCUCACAAAUCCAACAAGACCAAGCACUACUGUAGGUAAGUGAGUGAGUCCAUCCUAGCCAGCAAUAAAAGCUAUCAUCUGUUAAAAUCCCAUUUAUAUUAUCCAUAUGGAUUUAGAUUAUGGGCUAAAAAGUUGUUACCAUCCAAAACAAACUCACUAAAAGCUACAAUGUUGUGUAAUGAUGGUAUGUGCUCCUGUAGACUGUAUGAUAUUAACCUUAUUUUGACAAAAAUGUGUCACCGCAAAGAACUAUAACAGUCCUAAAUUUAAAGAGUGACAUCUCAGAUAGGUGAAUGUCAUUGUUACCAGGUAAACAUUUUUUUUUAAAACCCCGUAAACCAGUUGUUUUGCUUCUGGUUCAAUUCAGUUCAAUUUAUUUCAUUUAUAUGGCACCAAAUCACAACAAAGUUGCCUCAAGGCACUUCACACAAGUAAGGUCUAACCUUACCCCCCUUUGCACUUAGUUAAUAUGAUAUAUACAUAUUUGACAGUAUACACCUGACAACAUGUGAUCGUCAAAUUAACAAAUUAAUUAAGUUGCGUUAGUAGAUGCUGGAUAAAUUGUUAAAAAUUACGAACAGCAGUGGCUGAAACUCAUGUAGUUUGUCUUCUGAGCACUGUGUGUGCUUGUCGAUUUCGUCUGCUCAGGUGACAACCUAGCAACUCCAUGAAAAAAACAUGACACCCACAACCUGGGUAAAUACAAGCUGAAAUAUAAAACAGAAUGGGAAGCUAAAACCAGAAUCAAAGAAUAGAUAGAAUGGGUGGCUGGGGAUAGUACCAAACUUACUUAUAGUACGAGUACUAUAAAGCAGUGAUGGCUAACUCAAAACAAUACUCAGUAAAAUUUUUAAAUGUGUUAUAUAUAUUGUCCUAUAGUCAGUUUCAAAAGGAAGACACCUCGAGCCGUGCUAAAUGGGGUCUCAAUAUGUCAACAACUGACUCAAAACAAUGUUUCAAAAACAUUCCAGUUGUUCUGGUGUUGAAACAUAAAACACAAAUGAAUGAACUAUUGUUUUCCAAUUUUGGAUUUAAAGAUUACAGUUAGCGCACGGUCUGUACGUACACUAGUGCGUGCAUUGUUUGAAUUUAAUUCCAUAAAAUACCCUGUACAAAGUGGGAUGAUGCAUCAGGUCACUAAGAGACACCUUUUCACUGUGGCUUAUUUUAAUAAAA